Molecule: ribosomal RNA, 253 nt
Filed under: uncultured bacterium
Lineage: Bacteria
Description: partial 16S ribosomal RNA
Rfam family: Bacterial small subunit ribosomal RNA
Source: RNAcentral
UACGUAGGGGGCAAGCGUUGUCCGGAAUCAUUGGGCGUAAAGCGCGUGUAGGCGGUUCGGCAAGUCCGCUGUGAAAGUCGGGGGCUCAACCCUCGGAUGCCGGUGGAUACUGUCGAGCUUGAGUACGGAAGAGGCGAGUGGAAUUCCUGGUGUAGCGGUGAAAUGCGCAGAUAUCAGGAGGAACACCGGUGGCGAAGGCGGCAUCCUGGACCGGCAUUGACGCUGAGGCGCGAAAGCUAGGGGAGCAAACGGG